Molecule: non-coding RNA, 182 nt
Organism: Dorea sp. CAG:317
Lineage: Bacteria; Bacillati; Bacillota; Clostridia; Lachnospirales; Lachnospiraceae
Source: Rfam
GGAAACCUGGAAUGUUCGAUACUUCUGUUAUUUUGAACCUACAUUACUUUAAACGGGACUCCUAUAUCUCUGUAAUAUGUCAAGCCUCCAAGUUAUGCAGGGGAAGGCAGAAAAGCAGAUGCGGGCACCCACCUAGCAGCAGCUAGGAGUCAAAAUACAGAAACCGGCAUUUUGGGGAAUAC